GUAGUUAAUUUACCCAUAUUUGAGUUUUGCAUGGAAAACCUAUUUUAUGGGUAAAUUAUACCGAUAAAUAUAGGUAAUGUUUACUCAUAUUGUGAUCAAAGUAACUUUACCCAUAUAUUGGUAAAUUAUAUUUACCCAUAUAUGGAUGAAAAAAUAAACAUGAUUGAGCGACAAACUCGCAAGUGCUGUGUUUUUUACGGAGGAAGUUUUGAACACUCAAAGUUGAAGUUUUAUUCCUCAAUCGUGGUUCAAUCGAUAGCCUGCGAGCCUGCCUGUUGUACAGGCCAAGAAGCUUGGAAGCGUCGCCAACUUUCCAAUGAACACCAGCCAAAGUGAAAGAGGUCCAAAUCGGCCCUUCUGAACGCACUCAGAAUGGUCAACAUUCUCGUCUACGAUUUGUCUCGGAGCUAUUAGGUCCGGCGAGACAACUAUCGGUGUCCCCUUCUUGUUGAAUUGCCCGGUCCGGCAGAAAACCCCUUCAGAACAGAAACGUCACCAUCUACCCCAGCGGGAACCACACUGGAAACGUCGGGUCUGGCAGAAUAAGCUCCCGGAAAGGUUCCCGGAUUAAAACCCUUAACGAUAGCCUGCUAUCUUGGCCAAGGAAUUGUCAGCAACUUUCCGAUGAACGCCUGUCGAAUUGAAAUAGAUCCAAAUCGGUCCUUCUGAACGGGCUGAGAUUAACCGAUCCGGCGGAACAACUUUUGGCGUCCCCGUCUUGUUGGAAUAGCCCAGUUCGGCAGAAACCCCCUUCCGGAAUAGGAACGUCCCCGGCGAACUCCAGCUGAAUUGAACGAGAUCCAAAUCGGUUCUUCCUGACACGCUGGGAACGGUCUGGCGGAACAACAUUCCCACCUACGAUUUGUCCUUGGAAUUAUUGGGUCCAGCGGAACAAUUAUCGGUGUCCCCGCCAUUUUGGAAUCGCCCGGUCCGGCGGAAACCCCCUUCCGGAACAGAAACAUCACCGACUACCCCCAGCGAGAACCACACUGGAAACGUCGGGUCCGGCAGAAUAAGCUUCUGCAUCAAAACCCUCAACGAUAGCCACUAGGUCAAGAAACUGUCGGCAACUUUCCGGUGAACAUCUAUCGAAUUGAAGAAGGUUCAAAUCGGUCCCUCUGGACGGGCUGAGAUUAAUCGAUCCGACCGAUCAACUUUUGGCGUCCCCGUCUUGUUGGAAUAUGUAGCCCGGUCCGGCGAAAAAUCCCUACCGGUAUUGAAACCAGAGAAGAAUACGGAAAUAAGAAGUGAACGCGGCUUACCACGAAAUUAGAUAUGUGAAUAAAUAAAUAAAAGAUAAAUCGCGUUAUUUUCAUGUUAUUGAAUAUUCUCCCUAUAUUUUUUGUGAAAUAGCGUUUUUUAACCCAAAUAUGCGUAAAAUUUGAUCAAAAUUCAAUAACUCAUAUAUGGGUAAAUAUUACCCAUAUUAUUCGUAGACGCAUCAUACCUAAAUAUGGGUAAAGUGCCUUUACCCAUAAAAUGCGAAUGUGCACU
Long non-coding RNA from Aedes albopictus (Asian tiger mosquito), 1494 nucleotides. RefSeq lists it as uncharacterized. The record is from RefSeq and is a predicted model, not a curated record. The transcript has 4 exons. Lineage: Eukaryota; Metazoa; Arthropoda; Insecta; Diptera; Culicidae.